This 167-nucleotide small RNA is filed under the name Streptomyces sp. RNAcentral describes it as "c-di-AMP sequence". It matches the Rfam family "c-di-AMP riboswitch aptamer (ydaO/yuaA leader)". From Rfam's summary of the family: This family represents a conserved RNA structure found upstream of the ydaO and yuaA genes in Bacillus subtilis and related genes in other bacteria. The ydaO/yuaA element is thought to act as a genetic "off" switch for the ydaO and yuaA genes in its native state. It is believed that the element may be triggered during osmotic shock leading to activation of ydaO, a predicted amino acid transporter gene, and members of the yuaA-yubG operon which code for KtrA and KtrB K+ transporters. The record is from RNAcentral. RNAcentral also lists the same sequence under 1 other name. Lineage: Bacteria; Bacillati; Actinomycetota; Actinomycetes; Kitasatosporales; Streptomycetaceae.
GGACAGUCAUCGCCGAGUCCCCGUACGGCGCGAGCCAGGGGAGCCGGGGACCCACUUCGUGCAGUCCCUGGGGUGAAUCGGACGCCCGCGCGUACGCGAGGGGGCCCGUAGGAGACCUUCCUGCUCCGAACCCGUCAGCUAACCCGGUAGGCGAGAAGGAAGGAAAG